RNAcentral lists this ribosomal RNA (429 nucleotides) under Bacteroidota bacterium. Its description in RNAcentral is "Bacteroidetes bacterium partial 16S ribosomal RNA". It matches the Rfam family "Bacterial small subunit ribosomal RNA", at positions 355 to 776 of the family's 1533-position model. The record is from RNAcentral. Lineage: Bacteria; Pseudomonadati; Bacteroidota.
UAGGGAAUCUUCCGCAAUGGACGCAAGUCUGACGGAGCAACGCCGCGUGAGUGAAGAAGGAUUUCGGUUCGUAAAACUCUGUUGUUAGAGAAGAACAGCGCAUAGAGUAACUGUUAUGCGUGUGACGGUAUCUAACCAGAAAGCCACGGCUAACUACGUGCCAGCAGCCGCGGUAAUACGUAGGUGGCAAGCGUUGUCCUGAUUUAUUGGGCGUAAAGCGAGCGCAGGCGGUCAAUUAAGUCUGAUGUGAAAGCCCCCGGCUCAACCGGGGAGGGUCAUUGGAAACUGGUUGACUUGAGUGCAGAAGAGGAGAGUGGAAUUCCAUGUGUAGCGGUGAAAUGCGUAGAUAUAUGGAGGAACACCAGUGGCGAGGGCGACUCUCUGGUCUGUAACUGACGCUGAGGUUCGAAAGCGUGGGUAGCAAACAGG